This 468-nucleotide ribosomal RNA is filed under the name uncultured bacterium. RNAcentral's name for it is "partial 16S ribosomal RNA". It matches the Rfam family "Bacterial small subunit ribosomal RNA", at positions 28 to 507 of the family's 1533-position model. The record is from RNAcentral.
GACGAACGCUGGCGGCGUGCUUAACACAUGCAAGUCGAACGGAAAGGCCCUGCUUUUGUGGGGUGCUCGAGUGGCGAACGGGUGAGUAACACGUGAGUAACCUGCCCUUGACUUUGGGAUAACUUCAGGAAACUGGGGCUAAUACCGGAUAGGAGCUCCUGCUGCAUGGUGGGGGUUGGAAAGUUUCGGCGGUUGGGGAUGGACUCGCGGCUUAUCAGCUUGUUGGUGUGGUAGUGGCUUACCAAGGCUUUGACGGGUAGCCGGCCUGAGAGGGUGACCGGCCACAUUGGGACUGAGAUACGGACCAGACGCCUACGGGAGGCAGCAGUGGGGAAUAUUGCACAAUGGGCGGAAGCCUGAUGCAGCAACGCCGCGUGCGGGAUGACGGCCUUCGGGUGGUAAACCGCUUUCGCCUGUGACGAAGCGUGAGUGACGGUAAUGGGUAAAGAAGCACCGGCUAACUACGUG